This 887-nucleotide ribosomal RNA is filed under the name Parathyridaria clematidis. RNAcentral describes it as "SSU rRNA". It matches the Rfam family "Eukaryotic small subunit ribosomal RNA", at positions 171 to 1065 of the family's 1831-position model. The record is from RNAcentral. Lineage: Eukaryota; Fungi; Ascomycota; Dothideomycetes; Pleosporales; Thyridariaceae.
AUGCAAAAAACCCCGACUUCGGGAGGGGUGUAUUUAUUAGAUAAAAAACCCAAUGCCCUUCGGGGCUCUUUGGUGAUUCAUGAUAACUUAACGGAUCGCAUGGCCUUGCGCCGGCGACGGUUCAUUCAAAUUUCUGCCCUAUCAACUUUCGAUGGUAAGGUAUUGGCUUACCAUGGUUUCAACGGGUAACGGAUUUUUAGGGAAAGAUCCCGGAGAGGGAGCCUGAGAAACGGCUACCACAUCCAAGGAAGGCAGCAGGCGCGCAAAUUACCCAAUCCCGACACGGGGAGGUAGUGACAAUAAAUACUGAUACAGGGCUCUUUUGGGUCUUGUAAUCGGAAUGAGUACAAUUUAAAUACCUUAACGAGGAACAAUUGGAGGGCAAGUCUGGUGCCAGCAGCCGCGGUAAUUCCAGCUCCAAUAGCGUAUAUUAAAGUUGUUGCAGUUAAAAAGCUCGUAGUUGAACCUUGGGCCUGGCUGGCUGGUCCGCCUCACCGCGUGUACUGGUCCGGCCGGGCCUUUCCUUCUGGAGAACCGCAUGCCCUUUACUGGGUGUGUCGGGGAACCAGGACUUUUACUUUGAGAAAAUUAGAGUGUUCAAAGCAGGCCUUUGCUCGAAUACGUUAGCAUGGAAUAAUAGAAUAGGACGUGCGGUCCUAUUUUGUUGGUUUCUAGAACCGCCGUAAUGAUUAAUAGGGAUAGUCGGGGGCGUCAGUAUUCAAUUGUCAGAGGUGAAAUUCUUGGAUCUAUUGAAGACUAACUACUGCGAAAGCAUUCGCCAAGGAUGUUUUCAUUAAUCAGUGAACGAAAGUUAGGGGAUCGAAGACGAUCAGAUACCGUCGUAGUCUUAACCGUAAACUAUGCCGACUAGGGAUCGGGCGAUGUUU